RNAcentral lists this ribosomal RNA (434 nucleotides) under uncultured Lachnospiraceae bacterium. RNAcentral describes it as "bacterial SSU rRNA". It matches the Rfam family "Bacterial small subunit ribosomal RNA", at positions 341 to 792 of the family's 1533-position model. Lineage: Bacteria; Bacillati; Bacillota; Clostridia; Lachnospirales; Lachnospiraceae. The record is from RNAcentral.
ACGGAAGGCAGCAGUGGGGAAUAUUGCACAAUGGGGGAAACCCUGAUGCAGCGACGCCGCGUGAGUGAAGAAGUAUUUCGGUACGUAAAGCUCUAUCAGCAGGGAAGAAAAUGACGGUACCUGACUAAGAAGCCCCGGCUAACUACGUGCCAGCAGCCGCGGUAAUACGUAGGGGGCAAGCGUUAUCCGGAUUUACUGGGUGUAAAGGGAGCGCAGACGGCAGUGCAAGUCUGAAGUGAAAUCCCGGGGCUCAACCCCGGAACUGCUUUGGAAACUGUACAGCUAGAGUGCAGGAGAGGUAAGCGGAAUUCCUAGUGUAGCGGUGAAAUGCGUAGAUAUUAGGAAGAACACCGGUGGCGAAGGCGGCUUACUGGACUGUAACUGACGUUGAGGCUCGAAAGCGUGGGGAGCAAACAGGAUUAGAUACCCUGGUA